CCUACGGGUGGCAGCAGUGAGGAAUAUUGGUCAAUGGCCGUAAGGCUGAACCAGCCAAGUCGCGUGAAGGAAGAAGGAUCUAUGGUUUGUAAACUUCUUUUAUAGGGGAAUAAAGGUAUCCACGUGUGGCUAUUUGCAUGUACCCUAUGAAUAAGGAUCGGCUAACUCCGUGCCAGCAGCCGCGGUAAUACGGAGGAUGCGAGCGUUAUCCGGAUUUAUUUGGUUUAAAGGGUGCGUAGGUUGUUUUUUAAGUCAGCGGUGAAAGUUUGUGGCUCAAGCAUAAAAUGGCCGUUGAAACUGGAAGACUUGAGUGUGUUUGAGGUAGGCGGAAUGCGUGGUGUAGCGGUGAAAUGCAUAGAUAUCACGCAGAACUCCGAUUGCGAAGGCAGCUUACUAAGCCAUAACUGACACUGAAGCACGAAAGCGUGGGGAUCAAACAGGAUUAGAUACCCGUGUAGUC
RNAcentral lists this ribosomal RNA (460 nucleotides) under uncultured bacterium. RNAcentral describes it as "partial 16S ribosomal RNA". It matches the Rfam family "Bacterial small subunit ribosomal RNA", at positions 338 to 795 of the family's 1533-position model. The record is from RNAcentral.